UUCGCAUGACAAUAUAGGUUUAAUACUUAGAAUUUACAUUGAUAAAAUUGAACUUUUUUUUUUUUGUUAGGCUUACUACAGGCCUCGGGGGUCUUAAGCUUGCCCAGGCCCUAGUGCCGGUCCGGCCCAUAGUUUCGGGUCAUAACAGUUUGAUAUGCUACAAUUUAAAAUAAGAAAUUCAAUUGAAUUCCACAAAAUUAUGUUUGGAAUAAAUUCUUAAAUGAAAAUUCAUUUGUCUUCAUUUCUUAUAACACACUUUACAUAAUAAUUGAAUAAAAAUAAAUAACAAACAUCAAUUAUAUUUAUUAUAUACAAUAUAAUAACUUUGUCAUUUUUUAUUAAAAUAUAAAUAAUAAAUUUCAUAUAAAUGAGCACACUAAUAUUCAACGCUAGUUAAUUAAUUAUAUUUGUCACGACCCGUCUCCGUGGCCGGACCGACACUAGGGCCAAGGUAAGCUUAAGGCCCCCGAGACCCAUAGUAAGCCUAAACUACUCAACUUAUACAUGCCACACCAUUUAACAGAACAGUAAGCUCAUACAAGUUAGGAUAUAAAUAUAAAUAAAUAUUAUACAAUCCGGCCCAAUUUUAAUUAUCUCAAAUAAAGUUUAGUUUGGGCCUAAUCAUGAUAAAUCACAUCACGUGGAAAUUAGUCAGUGGCGUCACCGAAAUCCCGGACGAGCCGUACUCUCACCUGGCCAUCCUUUCAGACAUGUGCACCCGGGGAGCCAAUCCCUCAUACCUGGCCGACCGGUCUAAUCCUUACACGACCAGUCCUCUCAUUGUUUUUACAUUCUCUUUUCUUUUCCAUACCAACAGGAGGCAACCCGGUGGUCUCCAUCCAAUCUAGAUCAUCAGGCGCUCACAAUAGGAGGCCACCCUGCGGGCUAUCUAGACUAUUAGGUGCGCAACGACGAGAGAUCAUCCUAUGGUUUCCAUAUAAUCCAUGGUAUCAGGUGCACACGGGGGGCCGAUCUCCCAUUUCCCGGCCGACGGUCCAAUUUCAUAAUUUCAUCAUAAUCAGGAUCCAAGCUUUAUCGACCGUCCUCACAAAUCCAUGGUGACCCACUUCAUCCCAAUUCCACACAAACAAAGCACAAUAUAUACAUAGCACAAGUAAUCAGACAAGGUAUUCAACGUAAUACACCAAUUCCAUCCAAUGUUCAAUCAUACAUGUAUAAUUAUACAGUAAUAAUGACAUGAUAUGUUUAUAAGAUACUCAUAAUAAUAUACUGUUAAUAUAUAAAUAUAAAAAUAUAUAUUAGAAUAUUAAUAUAUGUGUAUAUAUAUAUAUAUAUAUAUAUAUAUAUAUAGAGAGAGAGAGAGAGGUAAUGUUUAUAAAUAAAUGUUAUGCAAAUGCAUUAUUUAUUAUUACUCACAGUGGUGGAGAACAAAGCUCUAGCUUUGAUUCUGCCUAGAAGGAGCACUAGACAGGCCGAGUGACCUAAGGAAUUUAAGAAUAGCACACGGAAAAUGACUACAUCAGACAAAUAGGAAAUACAAGAAUCGCUCUAAUAAAUUAUCUACAUAUUCGAUUUCUAUAAAUAAUUUAAUUUCUAUCGAAAUUUCGAGAGCACCUCCCCUGAAAAUUGGACUAUCACCAAAAUUAUAAUUUACAAUGACAUUACAUCUAAACUACCUUAAUCCACACUUUAAUUCUAUUAAUAUAUCAUUAUCAAGGUUCCUUAAUUAAAUCAACACUAAUGAAAUAUAUGCUAGAAUGUAAUCAAUGCAAAAUAAAUUAGCUAACCACAAACUAAGAAAAACAUUCUGAAAAUAGUCCAAAAGUUAAAUUUAUAUACCCAAUAUAUUGCUGCCGGAAUUUGCUUGACCGGAAAUGGAGGCUACACGUGCUGGAACGAAAAGCAGGUGGAGGCUGGUGGCCGGAGUUGCGUUGAAGCAGCUGGACCACCGGCAACCGUCGCGACAAGGGAGGAGAACGGCUGUGGCUGACUGCGCUCGAUCGAUCGAAGGCAGGAGGGGCUGCGGCGCUGCGCGAUUCGGCCGAGGACGAAGCGGGACUGCUGGCGGAGUUACUGCGACGGUGAGCGGCAGCGAGGUGGCAUGCGAGGAGACCCGAUCGACCUGGUAUCGCCGCUGCCGCUCUAAGCCUCGCCAGAUGCAGACACAGAUGCAGGGAAAGAACGAACAAGAAGAAGAAGAAGGAGGAGGAGGAGGAGGAGGAGGAGGAGGCAGUGCUGGUGCUGUGUGCAGGUGGAGGCACAGAACGGGGGAGGGGAGGGUGAAGUGUGCGCUGGAAAUAGGGGAAGGAGAGGGUUCUAGAAGUGGUUUGGGUGAGUUGGGCUGGCUUGAUUCAAUUCAGGUUUGGUUCGGUCCAAAUCAUGGUUUUCAAUUGGUUUUCGAAUUUUCCAGCCGUUUAUUAAAUUUAAAUGACAAAUAUUUAAAAAUAAAAAUUCAGAUUAUUUCAGUCUUCCCCUUAAAAAAAAUUUGUCCUCCAAUUUAG
Molecule: long non-coding RNA, 2462 nt
Filed under: Jatropha curcas
Lineage: Eukaryota; Viridiplantae; Streptophyta; Magnoliopsida; Malpighiales; Euphorbiaceae
Description: long non-coding RNA (JCUR_LNC001247)
Source: RNAcentral